UACGUAGGGGGCAAGCGUUGUCCGGAUUUAUUGGGCGUAAAGAGCGUGUAGGCGGCCAGACAGGUCCGUUGUGAAAACUCGAGGCUCAACCUCGAGAUGUCGAUGGAAACCGUCUGGCUAGAGUCCGGAAGAGGAGUGUGGAAUUCCUGGUGUAGCGGUGAAAUGCGCAGAUAUCAGGAAGAACACCUAUGGCGAAGGCAGCCCUCUGGGACGGUACUGACGCUGAGACGCGAAAGCGUGGGGAGCGAACAGG
Molecule: ribosomal RNA, 253 nt
Filed under: uncultured bacterium
Lineage: Bacteria
Description: partial 16S ribosomal RNA
Rfam family: Bacterial small subunit ribosomal RNA
Source: RNAcentral